This 288-nucleotide ribosomal RNA is filed under the name uncultured bacterium. RNAcentral's name for it is "partial 16S ribosomal RNA". It matches the Rfam family "Bacterial small subunit ribosomal RNA", at positions 28 to 313 of the family's 1533-position model. The record is from RNAcentral.
GACGAACGCUGGCGGCGUGCUUAACACAUGCAAGUCGAGCGGUAAGGCCCUUUCGGGGGUACGCGAGCGGCGAACGGGUGAGUAACACGUGGGUGACCUGCCCUCAGCUCUGGGAUAAGCCGUAGGGAAACUGGGUCUAAUACCGGAUAUGACUCCAUGACGCAUGUUGGUGGGGUGGAAAGCCUUGUGCGGCUGAGGAUGGGCCCGCGGCCUAUCAGCUUGUUGGGUGGGGUGANGGCCUACCAAGGCGACGACGGGUAGCCGGCCUGAGAGGGCGACCGGCCACAC